AACCCGCCUGCAUGAAGCCGGAAUCGCUAGUAAUCGCGGAUCAGAACGCCGCGGUGAAUACGUUCCCGGGUCUUGUACACACCGCCCGUCACACCAUGGGAGCCGGAAACGCCCGAAGCCAGCGGCCCAACCGCAAGGGGGGAGCUGUCGAGGGCGGGGCCGGUGACCGGGGUGAAGUCGUAACAAGGUACC
This 192-nucleotide ribosomal RNA is filed under the name uncultured bacterium. Its description in RNAcentral is "partial 16S ribosomal RNA". It matches the Rfam family "Bacterial small subunit ribosomal RNA", at positions 1309 to 1500 of the family's 1533-position model. The record is from RNAcentral.